Molecule: ribosomal RNA, 788 nt
Filed under: uncultured Neocallimastigales
Lineage: Eukaryota; Fungi; Neocallimastigomycota; Neocallimastigomycetes; Neocallimastigales
Description: partial large subunit ribosomal RNA
Rfam family: Eukaryotic large subunit ribosomal RNA
Source: RNAcentral
UAGAUGCGAGAGUAGAGCAUAUCAAUAAGCGGAGGAAAAGAAACUAACAAGGAUUCCCUUAGUAACGGCGAGUGAAGCGGGAAGAGCUCAAAUUUGAAAUCUUCAAGGUUCUACCUUGACGAAUUGUAGUUUAAUAGAAGUGUUUUCUGUUAGUAAGUUCGGCUAAGAGUUCUUUGGAAUAGGACAUCAUAGAGGGUGAGAAUCCCGUAUUUGACCGUUAUUCUUUCUAGCUGUGUGAUACACUUUCAACGAGUCGGAUUGUUUGGGAAUGCAGUCCAAAAUGGGUGGUAAAUUUCAUCUAAAGCUAAAUAUUGGCGAGAGACCGAUAGCGAACAAGUACCGUGAGGGAAAGAUGAAAAGAACUUUGAAAAGAGAGUUAAACAGUACGUGAAAUUGUCAAAAGGGAAGCGUUUGACACCAGUGUUGUUUUUCCGAAAAUCAAUUACGAAUGUUUUAUUUUUGAAGAAGUUAUGACUUCAUCGGCUUGCUUCCUUUCUUUAUCGAAACCUUUCUUAAUGCACUUUUCGGUUAACAAGUCAACAUCAAUUUCUUUUGUUGUAAAAGGGUACUGAGGAAGGUGGCUUUACUUUUCGGAGUAAAGUGUUUAUAGCCUUGUGACUCUGCAAUCGGAGAGAUUGAGGUCUGCAGCGUAGAUCCUUCGGGGCUAGAUACGUUUGUGCUAAGUUAUAGCUUUUCAUAGACAACUUGUUGACUAUGUUUAGUCUUGUAGCUUACUCGCAUGACGCUAUUUUACCUACGCUUAGGAUGUUGACGAGACUGUCGAUCUC